ACCGGCGAACGGGUGCGUAACGCGUAUGCAAUCUACCUUGUACAGGGGAAUAGCUUUCGGAAACGAGAAUUAAUGCCCCAUAGUAGGAAGAUAACGCCUGUUAUCUUUCUUAAAGCUUCGGUGGUACAAGCGGAGCAUGCGUCCCAUUAGCUAGUAGGUGAGGUAACGGCUCACCUAGGCGAUGAUGGGUAGGGGUUCUGAGAGGAAGAUCCCCCACACUGGCACUGAGACACGGGCCAGACUCCUACGGGAGGCAGCAGUAGGGAAUAUUGGUCAAUGGGCGCAAGCCUGAACCAGCCAUGCCGCGUGCAGGAAGAAGGCCCGUAAGGUUGUAAACUGCUUUUAUAGGAGAACAAACCCCUCCGGCGGGAGGGUCUGAGGGUAUCCUAAGAAUAAGCACCGGCUAACUCCGUGCCAGCAGCCGCGGUAAUACGGAGGGUGCAAGCGU
Molecule: ribosomal RNA, 448 nt
Filed under: uncultured bacterium
Lineage: Bacteria
Description: bacterial SSU rRNA
Rfam family: Bacterial small subunit ribosomal RNA
Source: RNAcentral